RNAcentral lists this ribosomal RNA (433 nucleotides) under uncultured bacterium. Its description in RNAcentral is "partial 16S ribosomal RNA". It matches the Rfam family "Bacterial small subunit ribosomal RNA", at positions 29 to 507 of the family's 1533-position model. The record is from RNAcentral.
AAUGAACGCUCGCGGCAUGCCUAACACAUGCAAGUCGAACGAGACCUGCGCGUUUAGUGGCCCACGGGUGCCUAACGGGUAGGAACUUGCCCUCACGUUCGCAAUCUCCCCCCGAAAGGGGUAUUGAUACCGGAUAAUGUCAUCGGACCAAAGAAGUAUCUUUUUGGGAUGUGCCUGCGUUAGAUUAGCUCAUUGGUAGGGUAAUAGCCUACCACGGCGAAGAUCCAUCGCUGAUCUGAGCGGAUGAUCAGCCACACUGGGACUGAGACACGCCCCAGACAGCUACAGGGGUCAGCAGUGGGGAGUAUUGGACAAUGGGCGAGAGAGUGAUCCGGAAAUGCCGCGUAAGUGAUGAAGGCCUUAGGGUUGUAAAACUCUUUUAACCGGUAUGAUAAUGACAGUACCGGGAGAAUAAGCUCCGGCUAACUCCGUG